CAGCCGCCACGGUAAAACGUAGGUGGCAAGCGUUGUCCGGAAUUACUGGGCGUAAAGGGCUCGCAGGCGGUUUCUUAAGUCUGAUGUGAAAGCCCCCGGCUCAACCGGGGAUGGUCAUUGGAAACUGGGAAACUUGAGUGCAGAAGAGGAGAGUGGAAUUCCACGUGUAGCGGUGAAAUGCGUAGAGAUGUGGAGGAACACCAGUGGCGAAGGCGACUCUCUGGUCUGUAACUGACGCUGAGGAGCGAAAGCGUGGGGAGCGAACAGGAUUAGAUACCCCGGUAGUCCCUGUCUCUUAUAC
Molecule: ribosomal RNA, 301 nt
Filed under: uncultured bacterium
Lineage: Bacteria
Description: partial 16S ribosomal RNA
Rfam family: Bacterial small subunit ribosomal RNA
Source: RNAcentral